UAGUGAACUAGUACCGUGAGGGAAAGGCGAAAAGAACCCCGGGAGGGGAGUGAAAUAGAUCCUGAAACCGCAUGCUUACAAAAAGUCGGAGCCCGCAAGGGUGACGGCGUACCUUUUGUAUAAUGGGUCAGCGACUUAUUGUUGCGAGCAAGCUUAAGCCGAUAGGUGUAGGCGCAGCGAAAGCGAGUCUGAAUAGGGCGUUCAGUUCGUAGCAAUAGACCCGAAACCGAGUGAUCUAG
This 239-nucleotide ribosomal RNA is filed under the name Climacostomum virens. RNAcentral's name for it is "partial Bacterial large subunit ribosomal RNA". It matches the Rfam family "Bacterial large subunit ribosomal RNA", at positions 488 to 733 of the family's 2925-position model. The record is from RNAcentral. Lineage: Eukaryota; Ciliophora; Heterotrichea; Heterotrichida; Climacostomidae.